UACUACUAAUAAAUAGAGAGCCAUUGGGAUACACCCCCAGCUGACUCGAACUGUCUAAAAAGAAUGCUGAAUCAUCUAAGCUGAAAAUCUGAAUAACUAAGUCCCCGAACUAUGAUGACUCACCAACUAUCAGACUGUAGAUACUCGAAAUUACUCAUGCUGUUGGAACUGAGCACCUGAACCUACAUUAUGAGACAAUGUAACACAGACGUAUAUGUGGAUUAGUACUUUUAGGAUGUACUGAGUAUAUGGUUGCAAGCAUAAUUGAUAAUGCCUAGUGGUAAAAAAAUGACACCUUAGUUUAAUGGAUGGGAAUGUGUAAAUGGUUUUAAUUGGGCUUAAUGGGGUUGUGUAGCUCAAGCUGAAGGUCUUAGUCUCAGGGAAGAUGAAUACUGAAAAUCACAUUUACCGAUGUGGGGGUCUUUAUGAUCUUGUGCAUAGUUCACACUUGAUAUGUUUAUAUCUUAGAUUGGUAUGGGGUCAUGGAUUCCCUGACCUUCUUUGGAUUUCCUGGUUCUUGCGGUUACACGCAUUGGGGCCCUUCCAAUGGGAGGAGCCGGACCUGUUAGCCUGUGGGUGCCUUUAGGUUGGUUGGAGAUACACACUCCAGGAUAAUGUGUUAAAUCUCAUGUUAAGUCCUAUUUCCUAUCUCAACAUUUUAUAUAUCUGUAUAUAUGCAUGUAUGUGAACAUGUACAUUGAGUAUGGACUUGAUUUUUAAAUAACAUUACUUUAUUCCUAUCUCGAGUUACAUGCUAGCGAUCUCCUUGCUAACCAUCCUAGGACGCUACAUUGUUUUAUAAUGUAGGGUCCGAGGAUACCUCUUUUGCCCAUGUGUAGCUUUUGGUGACCGGGUUCGUCAGUUGGUUCGCGGUGAAGUGGUAAACUUCCAUCCUCCAAAAAACUUAGCCAUUCCAUCGAUUUAUUUCCAUAUUAUAGAAUUAAAGAGUUCACAUUAGCAUUAUCAUUAUAAUUGUCACCAUCAUGGUUGGGGGCAUGUCCCGAUCUAGUUUUAUAUUCAGAUUGUUUUAGAGGCUUUUGUGAAAACCUAUGGAUUGGGAUAUUUGUUUGGAAUCGUAGAAUCUUCGUCUUGGUGUAUUUAUCUUUUAUAUGUUCGUUUGGAUUGCUUUCACUAUUAUACUAUAUUGUGUUCUGAUUGGCUAGGCUUAGUGGGUGGCUUUCUGUCCUCGAUGGACUUGAGAUACCCGUCACAACUAGGCCCUGAUUCAGGUCGUGAUAGUAAGGGUUGUUAAAAUUCAAUUGAUUUUUCAUAGAGUUCAAAUGCUUUACAGACAUCACAAAUUCUUUUUAAUUGCCUUGAUAGAACCUUUCUAAGACAUAAGGAAAUUCAAAGAUACAAAAGAAGGUUGGGGAUGCAGUAUGUGAAUUAUAAUCAAAAUGGUCAGAUAUAGUUUUUUGUGCAAGAGCAUAUUCAAGUGGGAGUGAUUGUCAAUUUUGAGCAACAACUUUCAUUACACCUCACAGUGGAAUAUGAUAAGUAGACGAUGACUACAGUGGUAUAUGCCAAAUAUUAUACUUUAGAGAGUCUAGUCUAUGCGAUGAUUUGUAUGCCAUUGGGUACAAUCUUUCCUUUCCUUGGUUAUAGGGGCAGAGUUGAAUGUCAUUUUAUAUGAUGAAGAAAAAUUGGUGGGCUACCCGUAUAUCCUUAUGCAUUUGAGGACUUUAGCUUAUGUAUAAAUUGUGAGUUUUUUGAGAUUAGUGUCACCGGGAACCCUUUCACCUGGAUGAAUGGUAGAGCUGAUGAAGAAUAUAUUUUCAAAACGCUCGACAGAAUCAUGAAUUAGGCUGUAUAGGACAUAUUUGGGAAUAUAAAAUGUAAUAUUUGACUAUAACUGAGUCUGAUCAUGCCCCUUUAAUGCUCAAGGAGAAAUUCAGUAAUUCUCAAAACCUCUUAGGUUUUUAAAGUUCUGAAUAGAAAAAGAUGAUUUUAAAAAGUGGUUAGGCAUAUUCGGAGGGCAGAUGAAUAUGGGGAUUGCUUCAAAAGAUUGAAAUACAAGCAGAAGAGAGCUAAAUAUGCACUGUCUAAGUGGAGUAGAGACAUCUUUGGGGAUCUAUUUAAACAACUAAGCAUCAGGGAAGAGAUUGUGAAGUUAAAGGAGGGCCUAUUUGAUGACAACCAAGUGCAACGAAUAUGGCUAUUUUAUAGCAUAUACAAGUUGAACAAAAGUAAUAUCUCCACUGUAAGGAGGAAUUUUUCAUACAAAAGGCUAGUAUCCAGUGGUUCACUAAAAGGGGAUAAAAAUAUAAAUUUUUUCCAUUGUCUGGUGAAAGAAGAAGAAAGAAAUUACAAUUGAAGAGAAGUUUAAAGCAUGAUGGUACUUGGGUUGAAGGAGAUGAGCAGAUUGCUAAUGAAGCAAUGAACUUUUUCCAAAACCGAUUCUCAGGAGAGCUCUUUACUGACGAACAUUGUUAUAACAUAUCCCAUCAUUAAUUAUUAAAAAAGAUAACAUUAUGCUCAUGUAACGCCCUAAAAAUGAGUCCCGAGACAUCACACGGUGCUCAAGACUAUGAGUAGCCUUAAACUAACCUUGUCUACCUUCUAUUAAGUUUGAAUCUCAUAAUAAGUAAUAUAGAUAUCAAAAUCAUACUGAAAGCAGAAACUAUCUGAAUGUAAUAUCCGAAAAUAAUGUCUGGAACCUUAAUACUGAAUAAUCUGAAUUAAAACUAUCAAGACUACGAGUAGCCUUAAGCUAACCUUGUCUGCCUUCUACUAAGUUUGAAUCUCAUAAUAAGGUAAUAUAGAUAUCAAAAUCAUACUGAAAACAGAAACUAUUUGAAUGUAAUAUCCGAAAAUAAUGUCUGAAACCUUAAUACUGAAUAAUCUGAAUUAAAACUAGUAGUCUGAUAAUCCUCUACUACUAAUAAUAAAUCGAGGGGCAGAGUAGAAUAACUUUAACAUACAAAUUUGAUGCCUCAAGUUACACAGUUAGAUUCGCUGAACAGAUUCGUAAUUUCUCCUCCAAAGGCUAGAUAGACGGAAAGAAUGAUCCUCAUUUAGAUGACUAUUAGAGAUAUUGUCUUGUUGCUGGAAAAAAGGCCCUCAAUGAUGGAAAACAAAAUUUGGGUCAGGUUAUGGGUUGGUCCAAAUUGGUGGGUCGGGUUAUGGGUUGGUCCAAAUUGGUGGGUCGGGUUAUGGGUUGUAACGGAGGGUAUAUUUGGACCUUUUUGCAAGGUUAAGGGGUAUAUUUGCUCUUAAACUUUAAGAGCGAGAGCAUAUUUGGGCCAAACUUGUAACAGAGGGUAUAUUUGGACCUUUUCGCAAAGUUUAGGAGUAUAUUUGCUCCUAAACUUUAACAGCAAGGGCAUAUUUAGACCAAACUUGUAACGGAGGGUAUAUUUGGACCUUUUUGCAAAGUUAAGAGGUAUAUUUGACCCUUUACCCUUUGUAAAAUAAUGCAUGCCAAAUGUAAAUGACUCACAUAAGCUGGAAUAUCUGAAAUACUGAAAUCUAUAAUCAUGAAUAACAAAUAAUUAGUGAGUCAUAACAUUUAGUUCUAAAAGUCGUACUAGUAUUAUGUCUGUAAAUCAUGCUGCCUAAGUGUAGAAAGGACUCACUUCUGUAUCUGAAAUCUGAAAGCUGAAAUCUAUAGCUAAUAUCUUUUGGUAAAGCAUAAUCUGAAUAAAGUUGUGAGCCUUUACACGUAGUUUUCUAAAAGUUUUUUUAUUACUAGUAGGAAGAAUACUUUAUCUAAAGGGAGGUUCUUCUAACCGACAUAAACCAUGUGAGCUAACAUGGAGUCCAACGUCUUGCUCCCCUAUGGGGAAAACCUCACGAUAGGGAGAGGUGUCAACUCUUGCCAAGGAGUAUAACCUAAUCUAAGUGAUCAUAUAUGUGUCUGUCAUCCAUAUAGAAAUGGGAAUAAUCUGAAUCUGUACCUACGUUGGCUACGUAGUUCUGUGGAAAAUAGGGCACGCUAAUCCCACACUUCUAGCUCAGUGCUAAAUACUACUCCCUUUUAAUCUGUAUGCACAUUCUGUUGGAAAUCCACUUUAAAAGCUAGCAUAAGGGUUAUUACAGAACCAAUUAUGCAUUUAUCUGAUUCAACCUGUGAGUAAAACUAUUCUGAUUUUUGAAAUUUGUAAUAAAUCUGUAAAGUGGAUUCCAAAUCUUAUCUGAGGAUCAAAAGAUCAAGGCUUUUUGAAAAUCUGAAAAUAAACUGAUCAUCUAAUGCUUAAAGCGUGAUCUUUCUUGAAAUAAUAAUAUUCAAUCUAGGGAUGAUAACCUAUGCAUCAAUCUCAUGUCAAAACAUCAUAAUAAUCAUGCUUGGUAAUGAAAACAAUGAUAGUUCAUCUCAAAAUCUGGAAAUUACUGCAAUAGGCAUGAAAAUAUGAAAAUAGUCAUGCAAUUCAACUUCUAAAAAACUUGAAAUCUCUUAAUCUUGCAAUUAGCAAUCCUAAUUCAAAAAACUCAUGUAUAAUCAUUCAAAAUCAUAUAAAUUUAAAAUAAAAGCUUGGUUUUGGGAACAAGGAUAAAAGAGGAUCCUUGUUUAUAAACCCUACAUACCUUAAUUGAUGAAAUUUCUAAGAAAGCUUGAACUUGAAUCUCUAUUUGAGCCUUUGAAGAUGAACUCUUGGUUCUCUUGAUUUGAGAAUCCUCAAUUUUGAGUUUUCUUGGAGAAACAAUGGAGGAAAUUGAUUUCUUGGAGAGUAAGGUUUUGAACUUUAGGGUUUUCCUUUGAGAGAGAAUGGAUGAAAAUAAACAUAAAGUGCUUAGAAUAGACUUAAUUCCUUGUUUUGGACGAAUUGGGGCUUGGGAUUUGACCAAAGUACCCCUCUUAAAAUUUAAUCGGAACUGGAAAAAAGAUAAAUUUUCCGAAUUUGCAUGCCACUGCAACGCUCCACUAUCGCGGUGGAUCAUUGGAAUUUGACAACUGAAAACUGGACAUUCUACGCGACGCGGAGCUAUCGCGGUGCACUACUGAAAUGCCAUUUUGGCCAUCACCGUGACGUGCCACUAUCGCAGUGAGCCACUGGAAAUUGACAAUUGGGAAAUAAGGCUUCACCACGACACGGGCUUAUCGCAGAGGUCCACUUAAACCAAACAAUUGCCAUUUUGCAAGUAACCGCGGCGUGAUGCUUCUCCAGUUGGGAUACUACUUUACUAAAAAUGCCAUAACUUCUCAACCGAGUAUCGGAUUUGGGAGAAAUUGGUAUUGAUGGAAAGCUUAUUCAAUUAUAUACACAAUGGUUUCACAUGUAACAAAAAUUAUUCAUUUUUAAAGCUAGCCUUUGACAUUCUAGGUGUUAAAUUGAGAUGGAAAAGUACGGGGUAUUACAGCCCAACGGAUUACCUACAAAUGUAAAGAUCAGAAGGACAAUAUUUGAGUUAAAUGGUGAUAGUGCAUGUGGUCUUGAUGGUUUCAUUGGUUGAUUCUAUCAGAAUUGUUGGGAUAUUGGUGGGGGAGAUAUUAGUGACAUUGUUCAUGCUUUCAUAAAAGGCUCCACUUUACCUAAAUCAAUUUCUCACACUAAUUUGGCGUUACUGCCUUAGAAAGAUGUCAUUCAUAUAUUUUCAAACCUAAGACCAAUUAGCUUUAAGUAAAUUUUGGAAUAAAGUAAUCUCCAGUCUUUCGUAUGAUAGGAUGGACCUUUUCUUCUAGGCUGAUUUCACAUUUCGCAGAACCAAUCAAACUUUGUGAAUGGAAGGAGCAUCACUAAAAAUAUUUUAUUAGCUCAAGAGAUUAUUUCUAAUAUUAGAAAAAAAGGAAACCAACAAAUAUAGUCAUUAGGCUUGACAUGGUAAAGACUUAUGACAAAGUUGAAUGGAAAUUUUUGAUUAAAGUCUUGGAAAAAAUAGGUUUAAUAAAAUAAUUAUGGAUAAGAUUUGGAGAAUUGUGGCUGAUAAUUGGUAUUCUAUUCUAAUUGUUGGACAAGCUCGUAAUUUUUUCCAUUCCACCGAAGGUGUCAAAUAAGGGGAUCCUUUAUCCCCUUUAUUAUUUAUUUUGUCUGUUGACGUGUUAUCUAAAACCACGAAUCAACUAUUUUAUAGUAGAGAAUUCAAGGGUAUUGGAAUACAUAAAUGGAGUGAAAGUUUAAAUCACAUGACCUAUGUUGAUGACAUGAGAAAGUCAUUACAAUUAAAUUUGAAGGUUUUGGAUCAAUAUUAAAUGUAGUCAAGUCAGAAAAUCAACUAAGAAAAACAUUUUUUCUUUAUGUAUAGGUAGGCUGCAACUAAUGUUGUCCAAGAAGUGGAGGUUGUAACUAGUUUUAUAGGGGUAAAUUCCCAAUGAUGUAUUUGGGGUUUCCUAUUGGUCAUGCAAGAAGCAAGACUUUGUUGAACUUAUCAAGAAGAUGCAGAAUAACUGAAUGUAUGGAAAGGUAAGUUACUAUCAUUUGGUGGAAAAUCUGUCCUAAUAAACCAUGUUUCUUCGAGAGUAUCCCUAUCGAGUUAUUGUCUGCUAUCAUUUAUCCUAAAUGUGUAUUGAAGAUUCCAUAGAAUCUUUUCUAAGUUUUUAUGGAAUUUUAUGAAAGAAGAAAAGGCAAAGAACCGAGUGUCAUAGCAGAAUAUCUAUCUUCCCUAAAUUAAAGGUGGUUUAGGUUUUAGAUAUCUUUAUGAUGUGUCAGAGGCUUUAUUUGCUAAAUUGUGGAGGAUUUUUAGGACUAAGUCCUUAUGGGCCAAUUUUAUAAGGAACAAAUAUUGGAAAAGGCUUCUCAAAUAUGGAAACAUAUGCUAUAUAAUGACCCUUAGGUUAUUUUCUGUAUUUCCAUACUAUUGCAAUGUCUAGAGGUUUUCCAUAGUUUCCUCAAGUUAUUUAUGACUUGCUGGAGAUGACAAUUUAGUUACUGGAGAGUUCGUUAAGUUUUUAGAGUCAAUUCCCUAUUUUGAAGUUCUCACUGUUGAGAAUUGGUUAUCGGGCUUAAACUUUAGGUUAACAUCGUCAUAUACCAAUUCUAAUAGUUUUGCUAGAUCUAAAAUGUUGAUUUUAGGCUUGGGGGACCUUUGGUUUGGGUCCUAAGGAUUUCAAACUCGUGUUAGGCUAUUGGGUGGAUUUUGGUUAAAAUAGUCAUUGAGUGUGCGAUCCACAUUUUAUUGAAAUGAACUCAGCUGGAAAUUUUGAUGGCACAGUUGAGAGAAUAUUGAUUUUGGUAGGGUAGCAUAGCUCAUUUGCAUUCACAUAAUUCUGAAUGAAUCCUGAAGGUCCACUCAGAAACUUGACAAAUACCAAGUGUAGUUGGUGCAGCAUCAGCUGGUGCAGCGCAAAAAUAGCCUUCACAUUCAUGAUGGCCAUGGAAAAUUGGCUACCACAAUCAUGAUGACCUUGGCCGCAUCUGCGAAGGCCAAGUUUACUAGCCAUCGCAUUUGCGAGCUUGCCUUCGCAUUCACAAAGAGUAUUCUCUGGGUCGAACUAGGCAUUCUUUCUUGAGAUCGAGGUGGACCGGCCGUGUUCGUGAAGGGUAAGUUGGAUUGAGCCCUGCAUUUGCAGAGGGGUCCUCACCUUCACGAUGAAGGGACCCCAAGCAGUAUAUAUGCUGCCAAACCCAAUUUUUCUCCCAUUUUCAAGUCUCAACUUCCAUUAAUAUCCCUAGAGAGCUAAGAGAGUGAGAGGAUCGAUACAUGGGUGUUUAGGGUGAGUUAGAGAGUUUGGGGGAUGUUUUUCCAUCAAGAAUUAUUGUAAAUUUUCUUAUAUUUCUUAUUUAAGUCUCUACUUUAAUCUCGAAAUCCCUAACACUUUGUGGGCUGAUUUGAGGGAGCAAUUUUGCUCGUAUUCAUCAUUUUUUUAGGAUAAAUGAUCCUUGAGCCUAGAAGAGCGUUUUGGCGGUUUCAAAGUUGUGAUCUUGCAACUAGCCCCACAUGGGAUUUUUAGCUCAAUUUCGGAACCAAAGAAUUUAUAUGCAAUAUGGGUAUUUUUAUUCUUGUAUUAAUGUGUAUAUCAUUAUUUUGAUAGUGUAGCAUCGUACAAAGGCUUCCUGGAAGGUAAAAUCUCUAAUUUAGUGGAUUUUCUUGGGCAUUCUUCGAUGUACAGGUAGGUUAGGCUUACUUUUCUCAUAUAUUGAGCUAUAUUAUUGUACUGGUGUGGUCUUAUGCUAGAUUUGGGUUGGAAAUUAUGACUUGAUUGUAUGUUUAGCGAAAUUUGGAAUAUUUAGCCGAUUAGUGAAUCGUGUUUAGGUAGAAUUGACCUGUUCAUCCUUUCCUUGGAUUAAACUAAGACAUUAGGACAUAUUGGACUUAUUUUACUCCUUGUAGUAGGUCUUGGAAGCCUUAGUCUAGUUUUUGGUAGAAAUUGUCUUAGUAUGAAUUUUUGGGUUUUAGUAGCGGGCUCCGUCGACCCUCUUUAAGGUCAAACAUCUGAAGUAGCUCCCGAUAGAUCUAGGAGGCCUUCUCUCAUUAUUAUAUAAAUAUUCUUGGACCCUAAGAUGAUUUAGUCAAUUUUCAAUUAUCGACUAGAUUUAGUAACCUGUAUUUACUUUAAAGACUGGUUCGAGCCCAACACUUACUAUUCAUUUAUGAUGCUUAAAGACCAAUUUGAGUUUGACAUAUAUUAAUCACUUAUUAUAUAAAAGUUUGGUUUGAGUUUGACAAUUAUGGUUCACUUAUGAUGACUAGGGAUCCGGUUCGAGUCCAAUGUUUGUUGUAUGAAAGGAUUAACAGAUAUGGUUUUGGUGGCCAAUUACUUUAUAAUUACUAUUGUUUUUAUUUUUCCCUUAAUUACGUCCAUUGAGCUUAUGGAGACUCGUUUGGAUUAUCCUUCUCUUGUUUGCGCCUUCUAGGCUUAUGGGGGUCAAGUUAGGCUAUAGUUGACUUGUAUUCUUUUGAUAUUAUCUAUUGUAUUAUUUAUUAUCUAUCAGCUGGAGUGUUGUUUCAGGUUUUCCCUUUUUAUCCCUGACUUUAUUUUACAUUCACGCAUUUUAUUAUGCUUUUAUUAUGAUUUAGCUUAGUUGACUGAUAUGCCUACUGGGUACCCAUUGGUUUUGUACUCCUACUAUGCUUCUGCAUCUUUUUCUAAUACAGAUCCAAGUACUAGCUAUCACCACUGACAUUCUAUCCAGCACAAUCUAGAGUUCGAUGAUAGGGUGAGCUUUUGGAGUCGGAGUUGAUUCUCUCUCCUUAUGUUAGUUUUGGAAAAUCUUUUUGACACUAUUUGUAUAUUGACAUUAUUCAUUCUCUUAUUCUUUUGAUUAGUGACUCUUACCGACCUUACUAGGUCGUGAGAUACUUUUUUGCUCUUUCUCUCUCUUAUUUAUAUAUAUGCCAUCCUUUUAAUAUUAUAUCGCCUACAAUCUAUUUGUAUGCUUAAUUCUCAAUAGUCAUCAUACCUUCCACCAAAUAGCCUAUUAUUUGUCAUUCUGAGUUGUGAUUUGGCUUACCUACUGGUUGGUUAAUGUAAUACCCCAAACUUUUUCAAGCUUAAAUUCAUUCAUAGAAUGUUAUGGGAUAUCUUCCAAAAUGAUUAAUAUUUGUUUCGCAUAGAAUUUUCUAGAUUUCAACUUUUCAUCAUGUGGGAAAUUAAAUAAGCUUUCCAUCGAUAUCAAAUUUGCCCAAAUCCGACACUCGGUGAAGAAGUUAGAGCACUUUUAAGUUGACAGCGUGCCAACUAGGCAGUCACCGCGUCGCGGUGAAGGACAAUUUCAUAAUCUUCACUUACCAGUGGACCACCGCGAUGUUGGCACGUCGCGGCGAGGUCCAAAUUCCCAUUUGUUAAUUUCCAGUGGACCUCUGUGAUAUUGGUGCGUCGCGGAGAGGUCCAUUUUUCCAAUUGUAGAAUUCCGUAGCCUAACGCGAUAGGGGCGUAUCGCACCGAAGGCCAAAAUGGCAUUUCUAUAGGGCACCGCAAUGGUGGCGCAUCGCGUUGAAGUUUCAGGUCCCAAUUGUCAAAACCUAGUGGGACAGCGCAAUAGCUCCGCAUCGCGGUGGACCCCAAUUUCCCAUUCGUCAGUUUUCAGUGAGCCAGCGCGAUAGUGGCACAUCGCGGUGGCCUAUUAAAUCGGGACCCAGUUACGUUUUUUUUUUCAGUUUCGUUUAGAAGUGAAAAAGGGCAUUUUGGACUUUUUCCCAGCACCCAAUUCCAUCUAAACACAAGAUUUAGGGCUAUUACAAACAUCUUAUGGUAUAUUUCUCAAGAUUUCUCUCAACUAAAAACCCUAAGCUUCAACAAUCAACCUCAAGAAUCUCAAGAUUCCACCAUCCUUUUUCCAAAUUAAUUCAAGAUUCCCAACACAAGAAUUCCAAGAACCAUAAUUCAAGAGUACAAAUAGAGUCUCAAAAGCAAGGUUGUUCAUCUAGUUCAACAUCCAAGGUAUGUGGGGUUUGAACAAGGACAAGUCUUUCGUUCUUGUGCCCAAAAAACUUGAAUUUUAUUAAAGAUUACAUGAUUUACAAGUUGGGGUUUAUACCCAAAGCAUCUUGUUUUAAGUUUAUGAAGAUAUAAGUGAUUUAAGCCUUGAAUUGCAUAUUUAUCCCACCUAUUUAUGCUUUGAAUUGAGGAUUUAUAUCAUGAAUUGCACAUUCCCAUUGUGAAUUGAUAUUUUCAAGUGUUUCCAAGAUAAUUGUUGAGAAUUAAGCUUCAUUAUGAAAUUGUGAUCAUUUAAGUACAUAUGCUUUAAACCCAAGUAAGAAUUUUGAUAUUUCAUGAAGAGUAUAUUGUUAGCAUGCUUUAACAAGCAAGCAUUCAGAUUUUAAAGAAAGAUUGAUCUUCCGAACCUAAGCUAAGAUAGGAAUCCACAUUAUUUAUGAUUUAAAGCAAAGAGAACUAUAAUUGGUUUUCAUUAUAAACCCUUGUGCUGUUUUAAGGUGAAUUUCCUAAAAGUUCUGAGCAAUAAGUAUGGGAGUAGUAUUUAGCACUGAGUUGGGUAUGAUUCCAAGGUCUCAUUCCCCAAAACUACGAGCCACGUUGGUUCUAAACGCCCAUAGUAGGCUAAGAUAGUGAUCACUAAAGUUAAGGUUCUAUUCCGAUGGCAAGGGUAGAACAGCUCUCUCCAAUGUGGGCAAGACGUUAGACUCCAUGUCAGCUCACAUGGUUUAUGUCGGUUAGAAGAAACUCCCUGAGUCCCAAAGUCCCUAAGUCCCAAAGUUCCAAGAUUUCCAAAGCUCCCAAAGCUUAUGAGUUUCAAAAGAAAAGAAUGAUAGAAAAACUUUUAUAAGACUAAGUGUUAUGACUCACUAGAUUCACAAGUAUGAUUUGUUAUACAUGAUUUUAUAUUUUGAUAUUUUAGAUAAUCAAGCUUAUGUGAGUCAUAUACAUCCACAUGCAUUUACUUUCUAAUUAUGAUGAUGUUUACUUAUGCAUUACACCCUAUAUACUCAGUACAUCCUUAAAGUGCUGAUCCACAUAUAUGUCUAUGAGCUACAUUGUCUUAUAAUGUAGGUUCAGGUGCUCAGUAUCAUCAACGUGAGUAGUUCAAGCAUCUCUAUCUACGCUCCCACAGUUGGUGAGUCCUCAUGAUUUGAGGGCCUACUUUUUCAGAUUUCCAGCUUUCAUAGUAAUUGAGUUAUCAUUUUAAGUUUAGACCGACUCAGUUGGGGGUCUGUCCCAAUGGCUCUCUAGUUCUUUAGUAGUAAAGGCUCGUCGGACUACGAGUUUAAUUACAGACUUUUAGUAUUUGUUAUUCAGACAGUACGUACGUUUAUUCAGUUCAGUUUUUGGUAUAAUAUAAUAUUAUUUCUUGAUUAGAUUAUCUUAAAGUAAGGUUCAGAUCUAGUAGCAGGCUCAAAGGGUUAGCUUGGGACUAUUCAUAGCCUUGAGCACCGUGGGACGUCUUGGGAUUAGAUUUUGGGGCGUUACAGUUAAAGAGGUGCCAUUAUGACCUGACAAACUAGGUCCUGACAUGCUAUCAGCUAGAGACAGUGUUGAUCAGGAGAUUUAGUGAAAACCUAGAUGUGGUCAUUCUAGCAUUUGGUUUGACAAUUGGACGCAAUUAGGAGAUCUUCCGUAUUACUUCCCUAUUAAUCACAACAUUGAUGAGAACUUUGAUGAUAUGAGUUAACUACUAAAUCAAGAAAGUUGGAAUGAAGAAUUAAUGAUGGAUAUUCUUAAUGAAGAUGUUUGUAAUCAGGCGAGACAAGUGAUUAGGGUAAUUCAUAAUAGGGAUGACUGGGAUAAGGCAUGGUGGAUGCUAAGCAGUAUAGGAAAGUUUUCUGUUAAAUAUACGUGGGAGUUACUUAGACAGAGAAGACCACCUCUAGAUUUGAUCACCUCUAGAGUUGACCAUGAUUUUUUGGGAAUCAGGAAUCCCUUUCAUAGUCUCUUUCCUUACUUGAAGUCUUUGGAAGAAAAGGAUUCCUAUUGGAGAGGUUUUAGUGAAAAUAAAAGUGGUUAAAGAUAUGGUUUGUUGUUAAUACAACAAUAGUGAGCAUGAAACUUUUGACCACUUGUUCAUGAAGUGUCUAGAUUCAAACUACUCAUGGAGUAUAUUUGCAGGACCUGUAGGAGUACCUAGUCCUUUUGUGAUGUGGUGGAGUGCAGACACUAGUGCAAAACUGAAGCCUUUGUACUAGGUUGUUCCCAUUUUUAUUGUCUGACAGGUAUGAAAAAGAAGGAAUAGGAUUAGAAAUGGAGGAAGAAUGUAAACGACUAGCUUUUUGAUGAAAUAUGUGAAUUGUGUGUUUUUGUGUAAUUUGAUUGUUUCACCCCUCCCCAUAACUGUAUUAUGGUAUUUUUGGGAUGUAGGGGGUGAUUGGCAUGGUUCUCGAUGCAUUUUGGUACCAUUUAUGUAUAUUGUGGUUUUUGAUGACUUCCAAAGCUUUAUUUUAAACUUAUGUGGAUAUCUUUUGAUCUGUACGAUGGAUGGCUGAACGAACUACGCCAACAACUCCAGAAUAUUAAUUUUAGGCUAGGUAGACCUUUGGUUUGGGUCCUAGUGCAUUCAAGUUCAUUUCGACCUAUUGGUCAGAAAGUUGAAAAAUUGAAAAUAUGGGUGUGGGACCCACGUUUGGUCAAAACAACCUCAGAUAAAAAAUCUAACUUUUCCAGUAGAUUCAAAACGUCGAUUAUAGGGUGAUAACAUAUUUGAUGUGAUUUUACGGCUUUUCAAUCUCAUUUUGACCCUCGAUUUGGAAAAUUAUAAUUUCGGAUUUCGGUUGUCAACUAUGUGAAAAUGAUAUUUUUUUGAAAAUCUGAAAUCACCAUUGAAUUUGGAGAGUCAAAUUUAGUGUGGUUACAUAGUUUGUUUAUUUAUAUUAGACUCCGAACGAAUUCUGAGCACCCCAUCGAAGUUUGUCCGGACUUAUAAAAAAAUUGGUGUAGAUUUUUCUGCAUUAUUAAUAGCAGUUUUCAAGCCCAUUUUGUUCAUUUUUCAUCUGGCCUCUUGAGAGUUAAACCCUAAAAAUAGUGUGGGAGCUUAAAAGUGAAGCUUGUGGAAGCUUGGGAAGCAAGAUUAACAUCUAUUUCUUGAUUCUAUUACGGAUUUAAGGUAAGAAUUCAACAUAUUCUUAGUCAUUUCUUGAUUAAUUUCUCAACACCUCAAAAAUCUUAGGGCUUGAUUUUAAACCUCAAUUUCACUCCUUUUUCACUUGAAUAAUAUUUUAAUCUUAUAAUUAUGAGUGUUUCAUCAAUUUAACAUUCAAAACAAUUCCAAUUCUUAGUUUUCACCCGAAUUUCAAAGAUUUUAUCUAGUACAACUUAAAAAUAGUUUUUCUUUGAUUUUAACCUUAUUUUUGACUCGAUUUGACUUGAAUUUUCAUAUGUAGGAUCCUACAAAUAUGGGAAACACGUUUUUGAAGUAAAGUUAUGAUUUUGCUCUUCUUUUUCAAAAAUCCAUUUCGGGGAGUUUGUUUUGACCCCGAACCAAAAAAAUUACUCAAUAUGGGUGUCGUUGAUUUUGUUUUGAUGCGUAGAUUCCAUAUUUGAUGUUUUUAGUGAAGCUCGGUACCAUUUGUGAGGAGUAAAACUUUGGGAGCAAAGUCUUGAUUCCGAUAUUUUAGUUUUUGAGGUAGGUUAUGACUUAACUCUUUCAGACUGGGCUAGUAGUAAAUGAUGGUAGAAAAUACAUGUUGAGGCUGAGAACUAAUCAUGAAAAAUGGGUAUCUAUGUGUGUUUCCAUGUGGGGGCCUAUAUGUAAUGUAAUUGUUGAAAUUAAGAUAUUAUGUGAUAGUGUGAUCGUGUGCGAUCCUAUGUGAUGUAGAUAGCCUUAAAUAUAUAUGAAUAAUUGUAUUGUGUUGUUGAAAUGUCUAAUGUGAUGUCAUUGGUGUAUUGAGAUAUAUUCAUACUUGUUAUAUGAGACGUGUAAAUUCAUGGAUGAAACAAAAAUAAUAAGUGAAUUAUUGGCUCAUGUGGUUGUGGAAAUGUAUAAUUAUGGUUGGUUGUGGAAAUAUAUUAUUGUGGCUGGUUAUGAAAAUACUCAUUGUGAUUGGUUGUGGUCAUUACAUCUUCAUAUCAUACUCAUUCAUGAAACAUUGGUACCACCAUGGCAACAUCUGAAAAACACUGACAAUACCUUUAAUAAAACCCUCCCCAAGGGAAGUGCUGGGAGGAGAUAUUGCAACACCUUAUAAAACUCUUUCCGAGAGACAUGUCAAAAAGUUCAUAUGAGAUAUGUGGAUUGUAUACGGAUUGACGAACUCCCCAUGGGUCCUAUCCUACAUCGAGAAGCUUUAGUUCCGUAGGUGUAUACAGGGAUUGUGCGACGAUCCCGGAGGUUGUGCAACGACCUCGUGCAUCAUCAUCAUUAUCAUAUACAUUGUACUUACUUUAUUAUGUUUAUGUUGUUUUGUAUUGCCAUAUUGACUUGUCAUCUAUGUAUUUCUCUUACCUUCCUUUACUUAUAUUUGAUGAUCUUGUAUCCACAUGUUCUCCUUUGUUCUACUUAUAUGUGGCAUAAUGCAUUCUUGUGUUCUAUCUUGGUGUGUUAUUGUAAUAUAGGUGAUAUAUUAGAACUGUUAGUGUAACCGGUGUAAGCUAUCGUUGUGAGAUAUUUUCUGAUUACAGAUGACAUACCCUUAGUGUGUAUUUUGUAUGCUUCAUUUUUUCUACUUUGCUUGGUUGGUCUAUGAUACCUACUUAGUAUAAGUGGACCGUACUCACUCCUACUUCAUCCUUUUGGUGCACCUUUAGGUUCGAGUGCGCCUUAGACUAGUUAAUUUUUGGGCACCUUCAGAUUACUCAAGGUAGCGGUUGGACAUUCAUACGUCCGUAGUUCACCUCUAUCUUUCUAUAUUAGUUAUGUCUUUAUUAGUAUUUGGAGACAGAUAUUAUUCCUUUGUGGUUAUUUUUCUGAUGUAUUUGACUCCUGGAUAGUAUUAGUAGUUCUUACACCAUUGACAACAGGUUUUGGGAGUUAUGGCUGCAUGUGUUGAUUUUAUUUUUUCCACUUGUAUUAUAUCUAUAUGGUUCAGCUUUAUUCUAGAAGCCUUAUCUUGGGGGGCAUUUCUAUUUUUUUUUGUGUGUAUCAGUUUGGGUGAGACUUACUUGUCAAGGUUCGCCGCGACAAGUGCCAUCAUGACCCUUAUUUUUGGGUCGUGACAAGGAAUGUUAAAACAUGACAUGGUUAUGGAGAUUAACAGGAAUCUGUAUAUGUUUCCAAAAUUAGAUUCCCUUGGCUUAAGGAAAUCCCUGAUUCAUGGCCAAUGAUAGUUAAAAUGUUUGAAGAGUACACCCUCAUUGUUUCUUGCAAAAUUGUCUGACGGAAACAUCCGUAAAGGGAUUACAAAUGUAAUUUAGAUGGGGCAUAAAUAGAAUUCUGGGCCUUAUGCUAGUGGCUUUUGCAUAAAAAAUAAAGAUGAAGACUUUAUUUAUGCUGCAUCAAACACAGUUAAAGAGGGGUCUGGACUAGAAGCUGAGGUGAAAGCUAUGAGAUUAGCCCGGGAGUUUUGUAUAGGCAAAAAUCUGUUACCUCUGACCAUGGAAAUAUAUUCCCUCAUAAUCAAUAAGAUUCUUGAUGGUAUAUGAGAGAUGCCCUGGACAAUUACCAUAGAGAUAAUAAGGAUAAAACAAUUGAUGGAGAAUAAUUUGGAGGAUGUGGAGCAUACAUUUCGAGAAGGCAAUAAAUUGACCGAUUUUUUCACUAACAUUAUUUUUAGUUUUGCAGGUACAAAUAACAUACAAUUUAGCUCAAUACAGGAGGUUCUGGAAUAAGAAAGGAAAAUCAUAAAUUUAGAGAAAAACAAAACUACAUAUUUAAGGAUAAGGAAACGUCACAACAGGUGUUUCAAUCAACCACAGGGACAAACACAAUCACACAAGCAGAUUGAUUUAAACAUACAAAUAACCAGCUGAAGUGGGCUAUAAUAAAAAUGAACUGAGAAAGUAGGAAGAAAGGACUUGCCCUUUAGCUCUGAGCCUUUUGCAGAGGUAUUAGCUUCAAGGAGAUCAUUUUGCAAAGGGUAAGGAAAUGAAAAAAAAAUCAAUCAAAAAAGCAUUUCAUACCAAAUUAUGGGAAUUGGAAUUUGACUUUACCUCAUCGUGAAGAGCUGGAAUACUGGUAAUGAGCUGAAGAAGUCUUCAACGAGUUGAAUUCAUGGCGCCUGUGAGAAUUUGUUGGGUGUUUAAGUUAACAUCAGUCAAUCACACUGAUGAUAUAAACCGUCUUCUACGAGAUGAUAAGAUCAAUGAGAUCUAUGGGUGCAGCAGUUCGCAAGUCACCGACAAUGGUUGGCCGAUCAACCAGGGAUUUAGUACUUUGGAGCUUUUACAGAUUUCCUAAUUUGGUUGUAAAUAUUAGCUUAGACUUGUUUUGUCUGUUUUUUGUUAUUUCGGGUAUGGGCUUUGGUCUCUUUUGGGACAUUGCCCAUUACCAUUUGAACCUUUGUUUUCUGAUUUUCUAAUAAAUGGCAUGGCCCGUAUUUACUUUAAACUACCCUCCUUCAUCAUAAAAAAUAUUUCACUUUAUUCAAGAAUUGUGGUUUGGUUAUAAAAU
RNAcentral lists this long non-coding RNA (16808 nucleotides) under Capsicum annuum. Its description in RNAcentral is "long non-coding RNA (CANN_LNC019643)". The record is from RNAcentral. Lineage: Eukaryota; Viridiplantae; Streptophyta; Magnoliopsida; Solanales; Solanaceae.